AGCUUCAGUAGCGUAUAUUAAAGUUGUUGCAGUUAAAAAGCUCGUAGUCGCAUUUCUGGCGAGAGGAUCCGGUCCGACCUUUUGGUGGGUUCUUGGGUCUCUUUCGCCAUCCUUGAGUGGUCCGUUCUGGCAUUAGGUUGUCGGAGCGUCAGCCGCUCAUCGUUUACUGUGAGAAAAUUAGAGUGUUCAAAGCAGGCUUAUGCCGUUGAAUAUAUUAGCAUGGAAUAAUAAGAUAGGACCUCGGUACUAUUUUGUUGUUUUGCGCACCAAGGUAAUGAUUAACAGGGACAGUUGGGGGUAUUUGUAUUUCGUUGUCAGAGGUGAAAUUCUUAGAUUUACGAAAGACAAACUACUGCGAAAGCAUUUACCAAGGAUGUUUUCA
Molecule: ribosomal RNA, 382 nt
Filed under: uncultured marine Chaetocerotaceae
Lineage: Eukaryota; Bacillariophyta; Thalassiosirophyceae; Chaetocerotales; Chaetocerotaceae
Description: SSU rRNA
Rfam family: Eukaryotic small subunit ribosomal RNA
Source: RNAcentral